UACUUAUAGCUGUAUGUGAGAUUGAUGA
This 28-nucleotide small RNA is filed under the name Bombyx mori (domestic silkworm). RNAcentral describes it as "piRNA piR-bmo-1830818". The record is from RNAcentral. Lineage: Eukaryota; Metazoa; Arthropoda; Insecta; Lepidoptera; Bombycidae.